This 435-nucleotide ribosomal RNA is filed under the name uncultured bacterium. RNAcentral describes it as "bacterial SSU rRNA". It matches the Rfam family "Bacterial small subunit ribosomal RNA", at positions 957 to 1393 of the family's 1533-position model. The record is from RNAcentral.
UAACGCGAAGAACCUUACCAAGGCUUGACAUACAGGGAAAACUGUCAGAGAUGGCAGGUCCGCAAGGGCCCUGUACAGGUGGUGCAUGGUUGUCGUCAGCUCGUGUCGUGAGAUGUUGGGUUAAGUCCCGCAACGAGCGCAACCCUUGUCCUAUGUUGCCAGCGGUUCAAGCCGGGGACUCAUAGGAGACUGCCGGGGUCAACUCGGAGGAAGGUGGGGACGACGUCAAGUCAUCAUGGCCCUUAUGUCUUGGGCUGCAAACAUGCUACAAUGGCCGGUACAGAGGGCUGCUAAACCGUGAGGUGGAGCGAAUCCCUAAAAGCCGGUCUCAGUUCGGAUUGGGGUCUGCAACUCGACCCCAUGAAGUAGGAGUCGCUAGUAAUCGCAGAUCAGCAACGCUGCGGUGAAUACGUUCCCGGGUCUUGUACACACCGA